Molecule: long non-coding RNA, 783 nt
Organism: Nilaparvata lugens (brown planthopper)
Lineage: Eukaryota; Metazoa; Arthropoda; Insecta; Hemiptera; Delphacidae
Exons: 3
Source: RefSeq, a predicted model, not a curated record
AAUAAAUUAAGAUUAAAUUUAUGCUUACAUGCAUGAGUACAGUAGGUGAGGCAAAAACACCGGCAGAAGGAAGAUUCCUUGUUUGCCAGUGUGACUUGUAAAAUCAGCUGUAAUUAACCUGUACUUAAGUAUCGCUGUAUUUAUUUACCCUCUUUGAAUGAGUAGUUUUCAUUUGAUCGCCAACUUUUUUCAUGCCAAUGUUAAAUAUGAUAUUAUACAAAAGUUUUCCUUAUAAAUUAACUUGAACUUAUCUUUCUAUUUUACAGUGCCAAAAUGAUCAAUUGCAUCCUAAUGGAACGUUCAAGAUGUGAUUCAGUAACUGAUACGGUAGUUGCAAUCAUUAUUUUUGACCAAAUGAUUACGAAUAAGCGCAGCUAUAUCUGGAGAGGUAAUGCACCUACUGAUAUCCCGUGAUAAGAACUUGGGAGAGAUUUAGUGAAAACCUGGAGAACGGCCACUUAGCUCACAAAUCUGAGCUGUUCACAUCAAGCUGAUAUUUGUGACAGCCAUUAUAGCUUUAAUCAUUUUCUCGAUUGAUCAAAGCACCAUAGGCUGCAUCGUUCGUCACCUCUGCCUUCAAGCGCAUUAUGACUUACUCCAAUAAGCCAACCAAAUAUCCUUAAUAAGCAAUAGAAGUUCUUAUCGACUGUGUAUGACUCAUUAAUAUCCAUGUUUUGUAUAAAUUUAUGUGAUAGACCUACUGAUAUUAAUGUUGAUGUACCGUAAUGUUUUUGCUCAUGUAUAAUAUUGAUAAUAAUACAUUAAAAAUAAAUAAAAAGUUAA